Molecule: transfer RNA, 75 nt
Filed under: Candidatus Azambacteria bacterium
Lineage: Bacteria; Candidatus Azamiibacteriota
Description: tRNA-Val
Rfam family: tRNA
About the family: Transfer RNA (tRNA) molecules are approximately 80 nucleotides in length.
Source: RNAcentral
GGGCGUUUAGCUCAGUGGUAGAGCGACUCGUUUACACCGAGUAGGUCCGGGGUUCAAUCCCUCGAACGCCCACCA